AUACAGAGGGUGCAAGCGUUAUUCGGAAUUACUGGGCGUAAAGCGCGCGUAGGCGGAUGAUUAAGUCAGUUGUGAAAGCCCUGGGCUCAACCUAGGAACUGCAUCUGAUACUGGUCGUCUAGAGUUUAAGAGAGGGAAGUGGAAUUCCAGGUGUAGCAGUGAAAUGCGUAGAUAUCUGGAGGAACAUCAGUGGCGAAGGCGACUUCCUGGCUUAAAACUGACGCUGAGGUGCGAAAGCGUGGGUAGCGAACGGGAUUAGAAACCCGUGUAGUCC
Molecule: ribosomal RNA, 274 nt
Filed under: uncultured bacterium
Lineage: Bacteria
Description: partial 16S ribosomal RNA
Rfam family: Bacterial small subunit ribosomal RNA
Source: RNAcentral